Molecule: ribosomal RNA, 250 nt
Filed under: Cicindela aurulenta
Lineage: Eukaryota; Metazoa; Arthropoda; Insecta; Coleoptera; Carabidae
Description: partial 16S ribosomal RNA
Source: RNAcentral
AAGGCUUAAAUGUUAAUAAUAGACGAGAAGACCCUAUAGAUCUUUAUUUAAUUAAUGUUUUAAUAAUUUAGGAUUAUUUUAAUUUAAAAUUUUAAUUAAAUUUUAUUGGGGUAAUAUAAAGAUUGAAUAAAUUCUUUUUAUUAAUUACAUUGAUUUAUGAAUAAAUGAUCCAAUAUUAUUGAUUAUAAGAUUAAGUUACCUUAGGGAUAACAGCGUAAUUUUUUUGGAGAGCUCAUAUCGAUAAGAAAGU